GUUUCAGUGUUUGCAGAUGACACAAAACUCUGUAAAAUAAUAAAAUGUGAGCAAAAUAUUACUUUGCUGCAGAGGGAUUUAGAUAGACUGGGGGACUGGGCACUCAAAUGGCAGAUGAAAUGUAAUGAUGAAAAAUGCAAAGUUAUGCACUUUGGCGUAAAGAAUACACAAGCAACGUAUACCCUUAAUGGAAGCGAAUUAGGG
Pelobates cultripes (western spadefoot toad) is the source of this 204-nucleotide non-coding RNA. Lineage: Eukaryota; Metazoa; Chordata; Amphibia; Anura; Pelobatidae. The record is from the annotation of a GenBank genome assembly.